This 385-nucleotide ribosomal RNA is filed under the name uncultured eukaryote. Its description in RNAcentral is "partial 18S ribosomal RNA". It matches the Rfam family "Eukaryotic small subunit ribosomal RNA", at positions 592 to 976 of the family's 1831-position model. The record is from RNAcentral.
CAAUAGCGUAUAUUAAAGUUGUUGCAGUUAAAAAGCUCGUAGUUGGACUUCUGCGGGUGGCGGCCGGUCGUGCCCUUAUGUGGCGUGAACUUGGCUCUUUGCCGCCCGCAUCUUUGGGGAGAUUGUGCGUGGCAUUAGGUUGUCGUGCGUGGGAUUCUCAUCAUUUACUGUGAAAAAAUUAGAGUGUUUAAAGCAGGCCUUUGCCUUGAAUACAUUAGCAUGGAAUAAUAAGAUAGGACCGUUGUCUAUUUUGUUGGUUUACAGAUGUCGGUAAUGAUUAAUAGGGAUAGUUGGGGGUAUUCGUAUUCAGUUGUCAGAGGUGAAAUUCUUGGAUUUUCGGAAGACGCACGACUGCGAAAGCAUUUACCAAGGAUGUUUUCAUUAA